This 500-nucleotide ribosomal RNA is filed under the name uncultured Glomeromycotina. RNAcentral describes it as "partial small subunit ribosomal RNA". It matches the Rfam family "Eukaryotic small subunit ribosomal RNA", at positions 591 to 1092 of the family's 1831-position model. The record is from RNAcentral. Lineage: Eukaryota; Fungi; Glomeromycota.
CCAAUAGCGUAUAUUAAAGUUGUUGCAGUUAAAAAGCUCGUAGUUGAAUUUCGGGAUCAGCGCGUCGGUCGUGCCUCCGGUAUGCACUGGCGCCGCUGGUUUCUCCCUUCUGAGGAACCGUGAUGUCAUUAAUUUGGUGUCGCGGGAAAUCAGGACUGUUACUCUGAAAAAAUUAGAGUGUUUAAAGCGGGCACGCGCUUGAAUACAUUAGCAUGGAAUAACGAAAUAGGACGUUCGAUCUUAUUUUGUUGGUUUCUAGGAUUGACGUAAUUAUUAAUAGGGAUAGUUGGGGGCAUUAGUAUUCAAUUGUCAGAGGUGAAAUUCUUGGAUUUAUUGAAGACUAACUACUGCGAAAGCAUUUGCCAAGGAUGUUUUCAUUAAUCAAGAACGAAAGUUAGGGGAUCGAAGACGAUCAGAUACCGUCGUAGUCUUAACCAUAAACUAUGCCGACUAGGGAUCGGAUGAUGUUAAUUUUAUAAUGACUCAUUCGGCGCCUUACG